ACCAGCAUGGCAUAGUGGUUUGAGUACUGGACUACAACUCUGGAGAUAAGGGUUCAAUUCCCAGUUUGGCC
Molecule: non-coding RNA, 71 nt
Organism: Phrynosoma platyrhinos (Desert horned lizard)
Lineage: Eukaryota; Metazoa; Chordata; Lepidosauria; Squamata; Phrynosomatidae
Source: the annotation of a GenBank genome assembly